GCAGGGAUGGCGGAAUUGGUAGACGCACUAUCUUGAGGGGGUAGCGGUCAUAGACCAUGAGAGUUCGAGUCUCUUUCCCUGCACCA
RNAcentral lists this transfer RNA (86 nucleotides) under Tissierella creatinini. RNAcentral's name for it is "tRNA-Leu". It matches the Rfam family "tRNA". Rfam says of the family: Transfer RNA (tRNA) molecules are approximately 80 nucleotides in length. Their secondary structure includes four short double-helical elements and three loops (D, anti-codon, and T loops). Lineage: Bacteria; Bacillati; Bacillota; Tissierellia; Tissierellales; Tissierellaceae. RNAcentral also lists the same sequence under 1 other name. The record is from RNAcentral.